Molecule: transfer RNA, 92 nt
Filed under: compost metagenome
Description: tRNA-Glu
Source: RNAcentral
UCGCCGGGCUGGACGAAGGCCAGCUGGAGCGCUUCUUUCGCGGGCGCAGCCUGUUCCGGCAGGCGUGGGUGGUCGCGCCGUCUCGCGACGAA